CACACAGUAAACGAUAAUCACUAGGUGUUGGGUUCGCAGCGAACUCGGUGCCGUAGCUAACGCGUUAAGUGAUUCGCCUGGGGAGUACGAUCGCAAGGUUGAAACUCAAAGGAAUUGACGGGGGCCCGCACAAGCGGUGGAGCAUGUGGUUUAAUUCGAUGCAACGCGAAGAACCGGACCCGGUCUUGACAUCCGUAGGAUCCUUCAGAGAGGAGGGAGUGCCUUUCGGGGAACUACGAGACAGGUGC
RNAcentral lists this ribosomal RNA (248 nucleotides) under uncultured Candidatus Cloacimonas sp. RNAcentral's name for it is "partial 16S ribosomal RNA". It matches the Rfam family "Bacterial small subunit ribosomal RNA", at positions 796 to 1041 of the family's 1533-position model. Lineage: Bacteria; Pseudomonadati; Candidatus Cloacimonadota; Cloacimonadia (SeqCode); Cloacimonadales (SeqCode); Cloacimonadaceae (SeqCode). The record is from RNAcentral.